RNAcentral lists this microRNA precursor (88 nucleotides) under Medicago truncatula (barrel medic). RNAcentral's name for it is "miRNA gene31754". It matches the Rfam family "MIR2587 microRNA precursor family". The record is from RNAcentral. Lineage: Eukaryota; Viridiplantae; Streptophyta; Magnoliopsida; Fabales; Fabaceae.
UUGUGGUGUCAUGGUCAUUGUUGACUGCUCAUAAGACCCCUUAUGCGGGGGUCGUAUAACGGUCAACAGAAGCCUUUGACAUCAAAGA